RNAcentral lists this unclassified non-coding RNA (536 nucleotides) under Hevea brasiliensis (rubber tree). The record is from RNAcentral. Lineage: Eukaryota; Viridiplantae; Streptophyta; Magnoliopsida; Malpighiales; Euphorbiaceae.
UCUGGAGGAACAACAUCAAACUGGAAGGAAAAAAAUUGCAGCAGCAAUAAAACUUGGACCAUCUAAUUGCAACAUUGACAAAAUUGAAGUGCAAACACCAAUUGCCACUGCUAAGUUAAUGAGAUUCUUAGAGCUUAAAGACAGCAUGAAAGACAAACAGUAAAACAAAGUGUAGUCAAAACACAAAAUCUGAUGUGAAAUUGUUUUUAUGAGAAAUAAUAGAAGUGAGAAGAAAAGCAGUUCAGUGCAUAUAGCCAUUUAGCUUGAGGAUAAGAGCAUGGCUAAAUUGCAGAAAGGUUGAACAUAUAAUUCCUACUUCAGAUUUUCCAAAUCACAUAAUUUCAAACAUAAACAACUUAAAACUAUUAUUAAUCAGCAGAUUUGAAACCAUUUUGGACCACAAAUAUCUAAGUUAUCAAAUUAAAUCCCAUAAACAUUAUGCAGAUUUACAAUCAUAAGAAGUCUCAAAGAAAUUAACUGAUAUGAAGAAGUACCUGAUCUUCCAGGAAAAGGCGAGGUGGUGUACACCAUGCACC